RNAcentral lists this ribosomal RNA (465 nucleotides) under uncultured bacterium. Its description in RNAcentral is "bacterial SSU rRNA". It matches the Rfam family "Bacterial small subunit ribosomal RNA", at positions 35 to 507 of the family's 1533-position model. The record is from RNAcentral.
GCUGGCGGCGUGCUUAACACAUGCAAGUCGAGCGGAAAGGCCCUUCGGGGUACUCGAGCGGCGAACGGGUGAGUAACACGUGAGUAAUCUGCCCUUGGCUUUGGGAUAACUACCGGAAACGGUGGCUAAUACCGGAUACGACGCACUCAGGCAUCUGAUGUGUGUGGAAAGUUUUUUCGGCCAGGGAUGUGCUCGCGGCCUAUCAGCUUGUUGGUGGGGUAAUGGCCUACCAAGGCUUCGACGGGUAGCCGGCCUGAGAGGGUGACCGGCCACACUGGGACUGAGACACGGCCCAGACUCCUACGGGAGGCAGCAGUGGGGAAUAUUGGACAAUGGGCGGAAGCCUGAUCCAGCAACGCCGCGUGAGGGAUGACGGCCUUCGGGUUGUAAACCUCUUUCAGUACCGACGAAGCGCCGAUGAUGGUGGUGACGGUAGGUACAGAAGAAGCACCGGCCAACUACGUG